AUACCUUGAAAGAGUGCGUAAUAGCUCACUGGUCGAGAGUAUCUGCGCCGAAGAUGUAACGGGGCUAAGACAUAAACCGAAGCUGUGGAAGAUGCUUUCGCAUCUUGGUAGGAGAGCGUUCUGUAAGCCGAUGAAGGCAGGCUGUAAGGCCUGCUGGAGGUAUCAGAAGUGAGAAUGCAGGAAUGAGUAGCGAGAAGGCGGGUGAGAAUCCCGCCGGCCGGAAGUCCAAGGUUUCCAGGGGAAGGUUUGUCCGCCCUGGGGAAGUCGGGACCUAAGCCGAGGCUAAGAAGCGUAGGCGAAUGGAAAAUAGGUUAAUAUUCCUAUACCACUUAAUUAACGUUUUUACUGAUGGAGUGACGCAGGAAGGUAUGUGAGAAGGCUGACGGUUUAGCCUUUCUAAGGAAGUAGCGUGAGCAUAUAGGUAAAUCCGUAUGCUUAAACGUGAGAACUGAUGGGUAAGCACCUCUUGGUGUAAGUCACAAAUCCUACACUGCCAAGAAAAACUUCUAAGGAGGAGAUUAAGUGCCCGUACUGUAAACCGACACAGGUGGACAGAGUGAGAAACUUAAGGCCGACAGGCUAACUCUAGCUAAGGAACUCUGCAAAAUAGCCCCGUAACUUCGGGAGAAGGGGUGCCUAUAUUACUUGAGAAGAGAAACACUUCAAGGGGAAAUAGGUCGCAGUGAAGAGUCUCAAGCAACUGUUUACCAAAAACACAGGUCUAUGCUAAGCUGAAAGGCGACGUAUAUGGGCUGACACCUGCCCAGUGCCGGAAGGUUAAGAGGAGGAUUGAGAGAUCCGAAUUGAAGCCCCGGUGAACGGCGGCCGUAACUAUAACGGUCCUAAGGUAGCGAAAUUCCUUGUCGGGUAAGUUCCGACCUGCACGAAUGGUGAAAUGAUUUGAGAGCUGUCUUGGCUGGAGGCCUGGUGAAGUUGUAAUGUCGGUGAAGAUACCGACUACCUGCAGUAGGACGGAAAGACCCCGUGGAGCUUUACUGUAGCUUGGCAUUGGGUUUUGGCAAUGUGUGUAUAGGAUAGUUGGGAGACUAUGAAGUAAUGGCGUCAGUUGUUACAGAGUCGCUGUUGGAAUACCAACCAUAUGUUGUUGAAAUUCUAAUCUGGUAACGGAGACAGUGCUAGGUGGGCAGUUUGACUGGGGCGGUCGCCUCCAAAAGAGUAACGGAGGCGUUCAAAGGUUCCCUCAGGUUGGAUGGAAAUCAACCUAAGAGUGCAAACGCAUAAGGGAGCUUGACUGCGAGACUGACGGGUCGAGCAGGUACGAAAGUAGGAGUUAGUGAUCCGGUGGUUCCAAAUGGAAGGGCCAUCGCUCAACGGAUAAAAGCUACCCCGGGGAUAACAGGCUGAUACUUCCCAAGAGUCCAUAUCGACGGAAGUGUUUGGCACCUCGAUGUCGGCUCGUCUCAUCCUGGGGCUGGAGAAGGUCCCAAGGGUUGGGCUGUUCGCCCAUUAAAGAGGCACGCGAGCUGGGUUCAGAACGUCGUGAGACAGUUCGGUCCCUAUCCACUGCAGGCGCUAGAAUAUUGAAAAGAUCUGUCCUUAGUACGAGAGGACCGGGAUGGACAAACCUCUGAUGUAUCAGUUGUCACGCCAGUGGCAUGGCUGAGUAGUCACGUUUGGAAGGGAUAAUCGCUGAAAGCAUCUAAGUGAGAAGCCCACUUUGAGAUGAGUGUUCUUUUAGUAUCCAUCGAGAACAGGUGGUGAUAGGCUGGAGGUGUAAGUAUAGAGAUAUAUUUAGCUGACCAGUACUAAUAUUACGAAAGCUUUUAAU
This 1789-nucleotide ribosomal RNA is filed under the name human oral metagenome. Its description in RNAcentral is "bacterial LSU rRNA". It matches the Rfam family "Bacterial large subunit ribosomal RNA", at positions 1118 to 2925 of the family's 2925-position model. The record is from RNAcentral.